GUCCCUUCGGGGACAUCCGAUAAAAUUGGAAUGAUACAGAGAAGAUUAGCAUGAUCCAUGCGCAAAGAUGACACGCACAACAAAUAUUCAUCAUAACAGUUAUUU
Molecule: small nuclear RNA, 105 nt
Organism: Medicago truncatula (barrel medic)
Lineage: Eukaryota; Viridiplantae; Streptophyta; Magnoliopsida; Fabales; Fabaceae
Source: Rfam